GUGAUGUCACCUUGGCGCUGAGAGGAAGUGCAGACGACGCAUGUAGUUUGACUGACGAACGGCGGAAAAAUAAAUAUGGAAAACGUGGAGGAGUUAAGGAGAGUGUUCAACAAGAACUUUUAGCAAUUGCUCAGUAUGUGGAAGAAAAUGUUCAGCCGGACUACAUUCUGAGGAUGGUAGAAGAUGUCAGCAAAAGUCAUGGGCAAAUAUCUGCUCUGACCGAUACAGACAUUGAUCCGGUUGUGUGGCACACUCUUGAAGAGGUACGCAUGCAACUAAGUCUUGCAGCCAGGCCAUCAGACCUGGGCGACGUCCACUGGAAGUCCAGGUGGACAUAAUGGAGUCCUACAUUCUUGCAGGAUUAUCAGCUGUCAAAAUAGCUGAACUGUUUGGAGUGUCAGUUAGAACCAUAAGAAGGAGAAUGGCAUCCCAUGGCUUGAGAUGCCGAAUCGUGAUCCAUGCAGGAGUGGAUGGAUUUAGCAGGCUCAUAGUUUAUAUAGGAGCAGCUACAAACAACAAAUCCACCACUGUUCUGGACAGUUUCAGGUCAGCUGUUGCUCAGUAUGGCUUACCAUCUCGUGUAAGAUCUGAUAAGGGUGGGGAAAAUGUUGCUGUGGCCCAUUACAUGAAUUGAAAGAUUAUGGAGAGACGUGUAUGGAAAUGUCCUCGACUUGUUCCAUACACUAUUUCUCAAUUUGGAAUUGGAAGGGUUUCUAAACCCUGACAAUGAACUGGAGUUAUUCGCUCUCCACUGGAUCUACGUCCCACAGCUGCAGCAGCAUCUUCAGGCAUUCAAGGAAGCCUGGAAUCACCAUAGUUUGAGGACAGAGAGAGGGCAAUCCCCCAUGCAACUGUGGCUUAGUCAGCCACGGGAGGGAAAUGCUGCUGAUCCAGUUGAGGUUGCUGCUGAUUAUGGAAUAGACUGGACAGGACCUCACACCCCAUACCCAGAGGGUGUCACUGUACCUGAUGCACAACUACCCCAGCAGCUUACCCAAGCUGAAGUUACGUCAUUGUCUGAUCCGGCAGUCCCUUUUUCUGCUGCACUACGGGCGUACAUGGAUACAGUGUAUAUUCUUAAGGACAUUUUUCAACAAACCUAGGCCUAUCACAACUCACCUUAACAUGAUCAGAAUGAAACCGUUUGAAAUGGUCGAACAAGACUUGAAAGAAUGCUGCAAAUUUUUGGUGCAUAAUUUUAUGACCAGUUGUGAAUUUCAAAUAAAUGCCUGUGAAAACAAAAAUGUAAAAAAACAAGACACAACAAAGGGAUACAAAACUGCUUUUAUUGCAUGCUGAAUAAUUUGACAGCUUUUAAAAGCAUUAAAACAAUGUGCAAAUAAAAAUUUUUUUUAAUAGAACUGAUAAUUCUUUUCUUUAACUUCCACACAUUUAUAUUACAACUGUUUCCCAAACACAGUCUUCUCCAAGUGUGGAAACAUUUUGUUGUCACAGUUCAGAAAUGCACAAACCUGAACCAUAGUU
Amphiprion ocellaris (clown anemonefish) is the source of this 1485-nucleotide long non-coding RNA. The record is from Ensembl. NCBI's taxonomy places the organism in Eukaryota, Metazoa, Chordata, Actinopteri, Pomacentridae.